UUAAGUUCAGCGGGUAUCCCUACCUGAUCCGAGGUCAACCUUGGAAAAAUAGACCGAAGGUCGAUUGUCCGGCGGCCGUCGCCCAGCACUCCAAAGCGAGAUAUUUUACUACUACGCUCGAGGCUAGGACGCCGUCGCCGAGGUCUUCAAGGCACGUCCGGCAGCGGACGUUGCCCAAUACCAAGCAGAGCUUGAGGGUU
Molecule: unclassified non-coding RNA, 200 nt
Filed under: Ascomycota sp.
Lineage: Eukaryota; Fungi; Ascomycota
Description: partial internal transcribed spacer 2
Source: RNAcentral